UACGUAGGUGGCAAGCGUUGUCCGGAUUUAUUGGGUUUAAAGGGUGCGUAGGCGGCUUUGUAAGUCAGUGGUGAAAUACUCCAGCUUAACUGGAGGGGUGCCAUUGAUACUGCGGAGCUUGAGUACAGAUGAGGUAGGCGGAAUUGACGGUGUAGCGGUGAAAUGCAUAGAUAUCGUCAAGAACACCGAUAGCGAAGGCAGCUUACUGGGCUGUAACUGACGCUGAUGCACGAAAAGUGUGGGGAGCAAACCGG
RNAcentral lists this ribosomal RNA (254 nucleotides) under uncultured bacterium. RNAcentral's name for it is "partial 16S ribosomal RNA". It matches the Rfam family "Bacterial small subunit ribosomal RNA", at positions 524 to 776 of the family's 1533-position model. The record is from RNAcentral.